This 901-nucleotide ribosomal RNA is filed under the name uncultured bacterium. RNAcentral describes it as "bacterial SSU rRNA". It matches the Rfam family "Bacterial small subunit ribosomal RNA", at positions 8 to 916 of the family's 1533-position model. The record is from RNAcentral.
AGAGUUUGAUCAUGGCUCAGGAUGAACGUUGGGCGGUGUGCCUAAUACAUGCAAGUCGAACGGUGAUGAUUUUGUAGUAAUACGAAUGAAAUCAUAGUGGCGAACGGGUGAGUAACGCGUUGGUGAUCUGCCUCGAAGUGUGGAAUAACGUCCCGAAAGGGACGCUAAUACCGCAUGUGCUUUCAAUUUUUAGAAAGUUGAAAGUAAAGGAUUUAUUCGCUUCGAGAGGAGCCUGCGUCCCAUCAGCUAGUUGGUAGGGUAAAAGCCUACCAAGGCAAUGACGGGUAGGGGACCUGAGAGGGUGGCCCCCCACAAUGGAACUGAAACACGGUCCAUACACCUACGGGUGGCAGCAGUAGGGAAUAUUAGAAAUGGACGAAAGUCUGAUCUAGCGACACUGCGUGUGCGAUGAAGGCCUUCGGGUUGUAAAGCACUUUUUGGAAGGAAUAGGAAGGAAGGUACUUCCAGAAUAAGUCUCGGCUAACUACGUGCCAGCAGCCGCGGUAACACGUAGGAGGCAAACGUUAUCCGGAUUUACUGGGCGUAAAGCGCGUGUAGGUGGUUCUGUAAGUAGGGCGUGAAAGCUCCCGGCUCAACUGGGAGAGGCCGUUCUAAACUGCAGAGCUAGAGGAUGGUAGAGGGAGGUGGAAUUCCAGGUGUAGCGGUGGAAUGCGCAGAUAUCUGGAGGAACACCAGUGGCGAAGGCGGCCUCCUGGACCAUUCCUGACACUCAGACGCGAAAGCUAGGGUAGCAAACGGGAUUAGAGACCCCGGUAGUCCUAGCCCUAAACGAUGUAGACUAGACGUCGGUGGUGUAAUAGCUGUCGGUGUCCAAGCUAACGCGAUAAGUCUACCGCCUGGGGACUACGGCCGCAAGGUUAAAACUCAAAUGAAUUGACGG